RNAcentral lists this transfer RNA (84 nucleotides) under Lysobacterales bacterium 14-68-21. RNAcentral's name for it is "Xanthomonadales bacterium 14-68-21 tRNA-Leu". It matches the Rfam family "tRNA". Rfam says of the family: Transfer RNA (tRNA) molecules are approximately 80 nucleotides in length. Their secondary structure includes four short double-helical elements and three loops (D, anti-codon, and T loops). Lineage: Bacteria; Pseudomonadati; Pseudomonadota; Gammaproteobacteria; Lysobacterales. RNAcentral also lists the same sequence under 1 other name. The record is from RNAcentral.
GCCCGAGUGGCGAAACUGGUAUACGCAAGGGACUUAAAAUCCCUCACCCUCGCGGGUAUGCGGGUUCGAUCCCCGCCUCGGGCA